This 519-nucleotide ribosomal RNA is filed under the name uncultured bacterium. Its description in RNAcentral is "bacterial SSU rRNA". It matches the Rfam family "Bacterial small subunit ribosomal RNA", at positions 32 to 526 of the family's 1533-position model. The record is from RNAcentral.
AAUCAACGCUGGCGGCGUGCCUCAGACAUGCAAGUCGAACGCGAAAGUCCCCUUCGGGGGACAAGUAGAGUGGCGCACGGGUGAGUAACACGUAGGUAAUCUACCUUCGGGUGGGGAAUAACCCCGGGAAACCGGGGCUAAUACCGCAUAAUGCAGCGGCACCUAAUGGUGACAGUUGUUAAAGCGGGGGAUCGCAAGAUCUCGCGCCUGAAGAGGAGCCUGCGGCGGAUUAGCUAGUUGGCAGGGUAACGGCCUACCAAGGCGACGAUCCGUAGCCGGCCUGAGAGGGCGGUCGGCCACACUGACACUGACAUACGGGUCAGACUCCUACGGGAGGCAGCAGUCGGGAAUUUUGGGCAAUGGGCGAAAGCCUGACCCAGCAACGCCGCGUGAAGGAUGAAAUCCCUCGGGAUGUAAACUUCGCAAGAACGGGAAGAAUAAGUUUGUGCUAACACCACAAGCGAUGACGGUACUGUUUGUAAGCUCCGGCUAACUCCGUGCCAGCAGCCGCGGUAAUAC